UUAAAGGCACAUACCACCACACCUGGACCUUU
This 32-nucleotide non-coding RNA is filed under the name Rattus norvegicus (Norway rat). The record is from RNAcentral. Lineage: Eukaryota; Metazoa; Chordata; Mammalia; Rodentia; Muridae.